RNAcentral lists this long non-coding RNA (586 nucleotides) under Linum usitatissimum (flax). RNAcentral describes it as "long non-coding RNA (LUSI_LNC007323)". Lineage: Eukaryota; Viridiplantae; Streptophyta; Magnoliopsida; Malpighiales; Linaceae. The record is from RNAcentral.
GGAAAACGCAAGACCCUCUCACUUCUUCAGGAGGUGAAGUAGGGACUUUAACAUCUAAGCCGACGUUUGGGGACUUUCUCCGACACAGUAAGUCUGUUCCGAAGAAAUGUAAUCGCAGCCGGGGUAAAAGAAACUAAUGAAGAUGAUAAUUCGGAACACCCGUGGUUUAAUUCCCAGGGUAAGUUUGAUGCUGUUUUCUCUUAUGUCAAUAAAUUCAAUCUUGAUAUAGUAGUACUUGAACCUCGUAUUCAGUUCAAUAAUACAGAUAGUUUAUUUCAGUCUUGUUUUCCUAGCUGGUUAGCAGAAUUUUGUUUUGAGGGAUCCCUUGGGAAAAUCUGGUUAGUUUGGAGGCAAGGAAUCCCGCUGAAGGUUUUAGCUAAGAGCUCUCAGUUUAUCCAUGUUGCUAUAGAGUUCUCAGUGACAAGAUUCUAUACUUUCGUUUAUGCUUCUACUUGUCUUUGUGAUCGGCGCAAUCUUUUUAUGCAUCUUGCUAGACUUCACCCAAAUGGGCCCUGGCUUAUAGCUGGCGAUUUUAACGCUAUUCUUCAGUUAGAUGAAGCCUCGAAUCAGCCUUCUUCAUUUGCUG